CAAUAGCGUAUAUUAAAGUUGUUGCAGUUAAAAAGCUCGUAGUUGGAUUUCUCGCUGGAGCGACCGGCCCGCCCUCAUCGGGUGUGCGCUCGCGUCGGCUCCUGCGAUCCUGAACCCGAUCCAAGCUGCUGUUAGUUCAGUGGCUUGGCCACGAUUCACUUUUACUUUGAACAAAUUAGAGUGCUCCACGCAGGCAAUGCGCUUGGAUAUCUCAGCAAGGAAUAAUAAGAUAGGACUCGGUUACUAUUUUGUUGGUUUGCGCAGCCGAGUAAUGAUUAAUAGGGAUAGUUGGGGGUAUUCGUAUUUAAUUGUCAGAGGUGAAAUUCUUGGAUUUAUGAAAGACGAACUACUGCGAAAGCAUUUACCAAGGAUGUUUUCAUUAAUCAAGAACGAAAGUUAGGGGAUCGAAGACGAUUAGAUACCAU
RNAcentral lists this ribosomal RNA (425 nucleotides) under uncultured eukaryote. RNAcentral's name for it is "bacterial SSU rRNA". It matches the Rfam family "Eukaryotic small subunit ribosomal RNA", at positions 592 to 1018 of the family's 1831-position model. The record is from RNAcentral.